Molecule: long non-coding RNA, 131 nt
Organism: Neogale vison (American mink)
Lineage: Eukaryota; Metazoa; Chordata; Mammalia; Carnivora; Mustelidae
Exons: 3
Source: RefSeq, a predicted model, not a curated record
GGGAACUGCGGCGGUCUCUCUUCCGGGACUCAGCCCACCUUUGUAAAACAGGGCAGUGAUUUUCAACCAGAGAUGAUGCCCCCUUCCCCAAGGGACACAUGCUCUACGAUGAUGAACGUGGAGCUUGAACC